AUUAAAUUAGUUUAAAAAUAAAACAUCUAAUUUUCAUUUAGAAAAUAAUUUUAUAUUAUUUAAUU
This 65-nucleotide transfer RNA is filed under the name Didemnum perlucidum. RNAcentral describes it as "tRNA-Glu". Lineage: Eukaryota; Metazoa; Chordata; Ascidiacea; Aplousobranchia; Didemnidae. The record is from RNAcentral.